AUCUUGGGAUCUUGUUACAAUGAAGAUUCUGAUUCAGUAGGUCUGAGUGGCUCCUGAGACUCUGCAUUUCUAACAAGUUCCCAGGUGGUGCC
This 92-nucleotide microRNA precursor is filed under the name Tursiops truncatus (common bottlenose dolphin). RNAcentral's name for it is "miRNA (ENSTTRG00000025311.1)". The record is from RNAcentral. Lineage: Eukaryota; Metazoa; Chordata; Mammalia; Artiodactyla; Delphinidae.